CCUACGGGAGGCAGCAGUGAGGAAUAUUGGUCAAUGGGCGCGAGCCUGAACCAGCCAAGUCGCGUGAGGGAAGACGGUCCUAUGGAUUGUAAACCGCUUUUGCCGGGGAGCAAAAAGGCCUCGUGAGGCCACAAGUGAGAGUACCCGAAGAAAAAGUAACGGCAAACUCCGUGCCAGCAGGCGCCGUAAUACGGAGGAUGCGAGCGGUAUCCGGAUUUAAUGGGUUUAAAGGGUGCGUAGGCGGGAUGCCAAGUCAGCGGUAAAAAUGCGGUGCUCAACGCCGUCGAGCCGUUGAAACUGGCGUUCUUGAGUGGGCGAGAAGUGUGCAGAAUGCGUGGUGUAGCGGUGAAAUGCAUAGAUAUCUCGCAGAACUCCGAUUGCGAAGGCAGCAUCCCGGCGCCCUACUGACGCUGAGGCACGAAAGCGUGGGUAUCGAACAGGAUUAAAUACCCCUGUAGUC
This 460-nucleotide ribosomal RNA is filed under the name uncultured bacterium. Its description in RNAcentral is "partial 16S ribosomal RNA". It matches the Rfam family "Bacterial small subunit ribosomal RNA", at positions 338 to 795 of the family's 1533-position model. The record is from RNAcentral.